Molecule: ribosomal RNA, 306 nt
Filed under: uncultured bacterium
Lineage: Bacteria
Description: partial 16S ribosomal RNA
Rfam family: Bacterial small subunit ribosomal RNA
Source: RNAcentral
GACAGCAGCAGCCACGGGAAUACGUAGGGUGCAAGCGUUAAUCGGAAUUACUGGGCGUAAAGCGUGCGCAGGCGGUGUUGUAAGACUGAUGUGAAAUCCCCGGGCUCAACCUGGGAACUGCAUUGGUGACUGCAACGCUGGAGUGCGGCAGAGGGGGAUGGAAUUCCGCGUGUAGCAGUGAAAUGCGUAGAUAUGCGGAGGAACACCGAUGGCGAAGGCAAUCCCCUGGGCCUGCACUGACGCUCAUGCACGAAAGCGUGGGGAGCAAACAGGAUUAGAUACCCGCGUAGUCCCUGUCUCUUAUAC